This is a long non-coding RNA of Gallus gallus (chicken), 1588 nucleotides long. Lineage: Eukaryota; Metazoa; Chordata; Aves; Galliformes; Phasianidae. The record is from Ensembl.
GAGCGACUGAGCGACUGAGCUUUCCCUUUAGGCCUCCCCAGAGACGGCUGCAGCUUAGCUUUGACUUCCCGGGGGGGAACGGAGGACUUUGGUGCAUGCCGCAAGAGGGGUGUUCCCUGCUAGUCCCGCGAGCGCAGCGAGUGUCCUGUCUUCCUCCUUUUUACUUAGUCCAGAUCAGAGCCACGCGGUAGUUGUGUGGCCGAGGCCGCCCUGUAGCCAGGGCUUGGGCCUGUCCUUGCGUGGCCGCCUGUUCUGCUGGCGGCGUGGCAGCCCUGUAGUCGGGGUGUGUGUCCCAAGCUUAGGAGCCCUCUGUCCCUUGAGCAGCCCGCCCGCCCGCCCUGUACUCAGGUGUGGGGAGGCUGCAGCGUUGCAGCCGGCUGCUUUAGCCAUCCAGCUGGUGGGAAUGACCCCUCCCUGUCCCGUCAGAGGGUGCAGGUUGAGGUGCUGCUUGCGUGUGGGGUGACCUCCCCGCUCGGUGGGUCGAGGCUGCUCCCUGGGUUCCCCAAGAGAAGACGUUGGUGAUGUUCUGCUGCUGCCGGGCGGGCCCGCCUGUAGCUCAGGCGUUGGCGGGAGCCUCGUGCUCCGCGGGGCUUCUUGGAGAGGGUGAGGUGCGGGGGUACGGUCCUGUAGGCAGGGCUGUGUGUGCCCCCCGUGUGUGCUUGCUGAGCUGUGUUCCGAGAGACCCCCCCCCCCCCCCCCCCGGACUCGGGUGGGAAUGUGGCCCCGGCCUUUCAGAGGCACGGGGCUGCGAGGUGUGGGCUUGGGCUUGCGCCCUCCCUGGAAGUUGAGGCUGGGAUCCCGACUGCGGCCUUUGGCCGUGCCGCCCCGCUGCCUGGCUGCUGAGAGUUGUUCCUGCCGCUGGGGGGGAAACCGAGCUCUGUGGCUCCAGGGGUGUCGUCCACCCGCCUGUAAUCAGGGUCUGGGUGCGCGAGCGUUUGUGCUCUGCUGGCAGCCUGUGUGGGGUGACCGCCCCGUUAGCGGGGUGUGGGUCGAGGUGCCCCGGACUGGGAGAGAAGGAGCCUCUCCCGGCCGUAGGGAUGGGGGCUGCCCUGUAAGUCAGGGAGCAACCGUGCCCCGGAGUCCCAGGCCCUUUGCGUUGGAGGCAGUGGCUGGGGGCCCCCUGUAAGCAGGGAAGCUGGCUCUUUGGCCGCUGCUUUUUGUACGCCCAGCCCCAUUUGCCCAGCCUGCCCGCCUCUGUGAUCCCCCGCAGCACCGGCUGGAAGUCCGCCGCGCGUCAGUGAGGAGCUGCUGCAGAAGAAAGAAGAAGCAGCAGCGUGGGGACCUGGGCUUCAAAUCAAGUUAGCAAUCUGUUUGUGUGUUUAUCUCAUUAUCAUUUUAUUUGGAGCCUCAGUUUGAAUGGUUUUUUAUGACUUUAUCAGCCUUUUUCGCAGCACAAUCAGCUGAGAAUAUAUUUUUUAUGUUGUUCUUCCUGUUAUAUUUGCUGUUCAUUUCCUUUGUCUAUUUAGUCUUGGUUUUAGUUUUUGAUAGCGUUAAGGCUUUUGUUUCUUACUGGUUGAAUUUCCUGCCAACCUUUCUCACGGAAUCUCAGAGUGAUCCAGGUUUCAAGGCCCUCAAGUAUCAUGCAUCU